This 377-nucleotide unclassified non-coding RNA is filed under the name uncultured Gammaproteobacteria bacterium. Its description in RNAcentral is "contains 16S-23S intergenic spacer region". Lineage: Bacteria; Pseudomonadati; Pseudomonadota; Gammaproteobacteria. The record is from RNAcentral.
UCCGGUUUGUCACCGGCAGUCUCAUUAAAGUGCCCAACUUAAUGAUGGCAAUUAAUGACAAGGGUUGCGCUCGUUGCGGGACUUAACCCAACAUCUCACGACACGAGCUGACGACAGCCAUGCAGCACCUGUGUAAUGGUUCUCUUGCGAGCACUCUGUGAUCUCUCUCAGAUUCCAUCCAUGUCAAGGGUAGGUAAGGUUUUUCGCGUUGCAUCGAAUUAAUCCACAUCAUCCACCGCUUGUGCGGGUCCCCGUCAAUUCCUUUGAGUUUUAAUCUUGCGACCGUACUCCCCAGGCGGUCAACUUCACGCGUUAGCUGCGUUACCAAGACAAUUAAGUCCCGACAACUAGUUGACAUCGUUUAGGGCGUGGACUAC